This is a long non-coding RNA of Calidris pugnax (ruff), 3729 nucleotides long. RefSeq lists it as uncharacterized. The transcript is spliced from 3 exons. Lineage: Eukaryota; Metazoa; Chordata; Aves; Charadriiformes; Scolopacidae. The record is from RefSeq and is a predicted model, not a curated record.
UGUUCCGUGUUUGCUGAACAAUUUUUUCCCCAUCUUUCUUACUGAAACCAAACUUCAGGACUUCCUGUAAAGCUAGAGCAUAAAGAAGAAUAGCAUCAUGGAAUCCUUCCACAAACAUGUUCACCUGAAAAAAAUAAAAAGAAGAAAAUAAAAGCAAUGGUGCGAGCUGAGCUCCGAAUGCUAUGAUCAUAAUUUGCACAUCGGGUCUACAAAAACGUUGCUGCCCCUGACCUGUACUGCACAGCAGAGCCGUCCCUCGGUGUGUGCCAUCAGCAGUGCCAGUUGCAGCAGAGAAACUGCUGGGUUUGCUAAACAUCUUUGGAGGCUGCAAUACAAAUAUGUGCAAACAGCCGUGCUGGGAUACCUUCGGUACUACUUCCACAUCCGACUCAAGGCACCACAUAAUUAAAGAGCAGAUAUUGGAUAUUUGACAAAAGGUGUUCAGCUGGCUGAUUAACCUUCCCUUCGCUGGCAUGCCUACGAGGAUCCCACUGGCGAGGGGAAAGGAGAGGUACAGCAGCUACCUUGGAAGAUAUUUAUGUGUACCUGCCAGCAGGCAGUAAUGUUCCAGCCACGCACCUGGAAUGUGUCUUCUCACCUUCCAGCAGCAGCAUGGUAGUUAACGCCUCAAAAUUUGAGGAUUUACCACCCCUCCAAAAGGCUAAAACCUCACUCUUUUAGCUUCUUCCUUCCUUACUGACUGACUGAUCCCUGAGAUCCUGCUUGAUUUUGCUUUCUACAGCGUUUUGUAGUCUGCAGUCUGGUGGGCUAACUGGAUGCAUUGCAUAAACAUGGGUCCCAUCAAAUGUAAAUGUCCUCCUGCCUACUGAAUGUCGCCUUGUUCCCAGCCACCGAACGAAGGGUGCCCAGAGCUCCUCACCUACCCUCCUCCCAUUGUCCUGCGCCCCUUUCUCAUGCCCCUCUUAUUCAUUUGCUCCGGGACACAGACAGUCCUUGUCUUUUCAAUCUGCCUUGAUGUAUUAGUUCUUCUUGGAAUGGACUAAAGCUUUUGAUUUUUGUCUCAGGCUUCUCUUCCUAAUGAAAAAAAUAUCUACUAUAGAGAGAAGGAAAGUUGGGAGUAUCCUCCUGUGGGUUCUUAGGGCUCCUUGCGUGCACAAGAACACCGCUGCCUUUAUUCACACAACCCAUCCUCACAAGCUGACUACAUUAACCCCUCCGCAUUACAGGAAUUGCUAAAUAUCCACUGAAAAAAAAAAAAAAGAAAAAAAAAAAAUUCUGAGCUGGCACAGCAGUACACUGAUCUUCUCUCACAGCCCAGGCAGAGCAGGCCUGAGCCCUGCUGCCCGCCUUUGGUCUGCCAAUGCUCACACAUCUGGGGGACUUCACUCACCCUCCUGUCCCUCUAGAGAGCUGGUCCUUCUCAGAGCUAUGUUCAGGUUGCUUAACCUCCCAGCACUUGGUCUUAAGCAAUGGAUGUGCCAAUGUAGCAAGAGAUCACAGACUUGAGGCGCUAACUGAUUGCCACCUAUAGUCUUCUUCCAGGAAAACCUGUCACCUGAAUGUCAUAAAGUUAGACUUUGCCCUGCUGUCAUUCGGGGUUGCUUUCACUGUAUCAAUAGCUCAAAUGAGAACAGGAAAUCUUCCCUGAACCACCUCACUGUGGGAUCUGCCCCUGUGGAGGCAACACCUCAUUUGCCCUGGAGCUCUCAAACAAGGAAUACACAUUUCUGGUCUUGAAAAAUUGUCCUUCCUUUAUGUCCCUAAAGAAAAUAAAAUGUGGCUCCUUCUCCUCAACCCUUGCCACCCUCCUAAUCAAACUCUCUGAAACCGCCCAGAGAGAUGGUGGAGUCUCCAUCUCCGGAGACAUUCAAAACCCGCCUGGACACGUUCCUGUGCAACCUGCUCUAGGUGGGCCUGCUUUGGCAGGGGGGUUGGACUAGAUGAUCUCCAGAGGUCCCUUCCAACCCCGUAUUAUUCUGUGAUUAAACUGAUUAUGUUUAACUGAUUUAAGUUUUAACCCCAAAUCGUUCUGUGAUUAACACUGAAGUCUCCACCCAGCCUAUGUUACAGCAGCUUGAGGCUACCCUCACAGGUAGACCCUCGCCAUCCAGCAAGAACACCACUCCCAUGAGAAAACAGCUUCCAGCAGCCCACUCAGUACCCUGCUUCUGGCUAUGGUAGCAUCCUGACAGGGGACAGGCUCACCCAAACCUCCUGCUUCAUGCCUUGUUGAGCUGAGGAUUUUUUCCAGUUAAAAAAGAAACUUUCAACUGAGCUUUAUUUUCAUCAGCUACUCAGGGAACAAGACUCAUAGAAGAAGGUAUUAGCUGCUAGAAAGCCAGCUAGCAAAGGACAUUUUUUAAGUGUCAUUUUGAUCAAAAUGAGAUAUAUAGUCUUUUCUUGCCUUCAUUCAAACAUCUUAGAGCCAAACCUGACAAACCAUUUAAUAACAGUAUCAGAAAUCCUACAAAUUUACAUAAAAACAGGGCCCCAAUGGGACAAAUUAGCUUUUGGAUCCUUAGCCAUACAAAUGGCACGGAGAGGCAUUAAAAACAAAAACAGGUUAUGAACUUUGCUGGAAGACAUAUUUUACACACUUUAUUAGUGGAAAAUAAGGUGUAUUUCUAGCAAGUCCUUCAAAGGGAGAGUGCCUGGCCUGUAAAUGUCUGAGUGUCUGUUUAGUAAAGUGGAAUGUGAAUAUCUGUGAAACCCAAGUAAAAACAUGGGGCUUUGGAAAAUAUACAACAUCUAUAUGAAGAUCAACUCUAAAUUUUUACAUUCCCAAAGAGUCCAGAUGUUACUAUUUUCAGAUAUACCUAUGGUUUCAUACUAUCUUCUCCAUGGUUUAAGACAGCUUCAAAAAUGUGCUUAGACAGGCUAGAAAAACUAAACAGAAAUCCACUGGAAGAGAGAAAAAUAAUUCUUUCUUUCUUGUACUGUCUUUUAUGACAUCUGUUAAUGGCAAAUAACAUACUAUUACGCUGCAGCUUUGCCUAAGACCCCGAUGUGGAAGCCACUAGUCUUUCAAAUCACUGAGAAAGCAUUAACUUCAGGGGAAAAAAAAAAAGUGUCUGCUGUAUUCACCCAAUUUAGCAGUCCAGAGUUCAACACUGCUCUUACAGAAAUUGAAGAAACUCUCAUUAAUUCCAUGGGGUGAAGGGCUGGUCGCGAAAAUCCUAAAUAUGUUUUACUAAUAGAAUUCAUCUUGUUAAUAAGCUGGCAUGUGAACCCGUUCUUUCCGGCUGCUGAAAGCAGCUUGUGGUUUGCUUUUAUUCUUUCAAACACAAUUAGCAAAGCACUCCAGCAGCUGAAUAGACCUAUUCAUUUGGACAAAUUAUUCGUUGGCAGGGUUGGGGUUUUGUUUUUUUUUUAAAAAAUCUCCCCAAAACUCUCUCCCAUCCUGGUGUAGUCAGAAGAGACACAAAAGCCUGCCUGUCAUUAAUCUUGCCUGUCCGUGCCUGAAAAAAGGCAAGUGGGAUGCACAGUGCUGAAUAGAUUACAUUUUCAGUGUCCCUCUCAGUGACAUGACUGAAUUGCUCACUUCUCCCAAACCUUAUCUUAGCUGGUGUACAAUCCUAAUUAAAAGGCUGACGUAAGGAAUACACACGGGGAAGAGAGUCUGGCACGGAUGUUAUGGAUGAGAUGAUAAAUUUUAUGAGCACAGCUACCUCCCACGUAGCUUUUGUAGUUAACUGUUGGAGCUCGAACAGUUGCUCUUACGCAGACUAUUUCUCAUUUCAGAAGACUGAAAAUGUUAAAUAAAACAGA